Molecule: long non-coding RNA, 1832 nt
Filed under: Salmo salar (Atlantic salmon)
Lineage: Eukaryota; Metazoa; Chordata; Actinopteri; Salmoniformes; Salmonidae
Description: lncRNA (ENSSSAG00000095712.1)
Source: RNAcentral
GCAUUUCUAAGGUAUUUGAAUAUCGCACCACGGGAUUCCACUGGCUGUUGAGUAGGUGGGACGGUGAGUAGGUGGGACGGUGAGUAGGUGGGACGGUGAGUAGGUGGGACGGUGAGUAGGUGGGACGGUGAGUAGGUGGCUGUUGAGUAGGUGGGACGGUGAGUAGGUGGCUGUUGAGUAGGUGGGACGGUGAGUAGGUGGGACGGUGAGUAGGUGUCUGUUGAGUAGGUGGGACGGUGAGUAGGUGGGACGGUGAGUAGGUGUCUGUUGAGUAGGUGGGACGGUGAGUAGGUGGGACGGUGAGUAGGUGUCUGUUGUGUAGGUGGGACGGUGAGUAGGUGGGACGGUGAGUAGGUGUCUGUUGAGUAGAUGGGACGGUGAGUAGGUGGGACGGUGAGUAGGUGUCUGUUGAGUAGGUGGGACGGUGAGUAGGUGGGACGGUGAGUAGGUGGGACGGUGAGUAGGUGUCUGUUGAGUAGGUGGGACGGUGAGUAGGUGGCUGUUGAGUAGGUGGCUGUUGAGUAGGUGUGACGGUGAGUAGGUGGGACGGUGAGUAGGUGGGACGGUGAGUAGGUGGGACGGUGAGUAGGUGGGACGGUGAGUAGGUGUCUGUUGAGUUGGUGGGACGGUGAGUAGGUGUCUGUUGAGUAGGUGGGACGGUGAGUAGGUGGCUGUUGAGUAGGUGGGACGGUGAGUAGGUGGGACGGUGAGUAGGUGUCUGUUUAGUAGGUGGGACGGUGAGUAGGUGGGACGGUGAGUAGGUGUCUGUUGAGUAGGUGGGACGGUGAGUAGGUGGGACGGUGAGUAGGUGUCUGUUGAGUAGGUGGGACGGUGAGUAGGUGGGACGGUGAGUAGGUGUCUGUUGAGUAGGUGGGGCGGUGAGUAGGUGGGACGGUGAGUAGGUGUCUGUUGAGUAGGUGGGACGGUGAGUAGGUGGGACGGUGAGUAGGUGGGACGGUGAGUAGGUGUCUGUUGAGUAGGUGGGACGGUGAGUAGGUGGGACGGUGAGUAGGUGGGACGGUGAGUAGGUGUCUGUUGAGUAGGUGGGACGGUGAGUAGGUGGGACGGUGAGUAGGUGGGACGGUGAGUAGGUGGGACGGUGAGUAGGUGGGACGGUGAGUAGGUGUCUGUUGAGUAGGUGGGACGGUGAGUAGGUGGGACGGUGAGUAGGUGGCUGUUGAGUAGGUGGGACGGUGAGUAGGUGGGACGGUGAGUAGGUGGGACGGUGAGUAGGUGGGACGGUGAGUAGGUGGGACGGUGAGUAGGUGUCUGUUGAGUAGGUGGGACGGUGAGUAGGUGGGACGGUGAGUAGGUGGGACGGUGAGUAGGUGGGACGGUGAGUAGGUGGGACGGUGAGUAGGUGGGACGGUGAGUAGGUGGCUGUUGAGUAGGUGGCUGGUGAGUAGGUGGGACGGUGAGUAGGUGGGACGGUGAGUAGGUGGGACGGUGAGUAGGUGGGACGGUGAGUAGGUGGGACGGUGAGUAGGUGGCUGUUGAGUAGGUGGGACUUCUGAUAAUAUGUUUGCUCUAACUGCUUUUUUAAAAACAGAAAUGAAAUCUGACAACUGGAGGUUGGCAUCUUUUAAUAAGGCAUACUCCAAUUACGGUUUUCAAUGAUUACCAAGAUUCUUAGUGACCUUUUUAUGAAUUACAAUGAUUUUACUUUUAGAGGUUAACCUCUCUAGGGUAGGUGGCACCAAACCAUCCCACCUACGUAACAGCCAGUGUAAUCCCGUGGCGCAUUAUUCAAAAACCUCAAAAAUGCAAAAACUUCCAUUUUUCAAACAUAUGACUAUUUUACACCAUUUUAAAGACAAGACUCUCGUUAAUCU